AUGAUACUCCCUCCAUCCCAAAAUUCUUGUCUUAGCUUUGUCUAGAAAUGGAUGUAUCUAAGUGCUAAAUUUGACUGGAUACAUUUGUAUCUAAACAAAAUAUGAGACAAGAAUUUUGGGACGGAGGAAGUACUUU
Molecule: microRNA precursor, 136 nt
Filed under: Hordeum vulgare
Lineage: Eukaryota; Viridiplantae; Streptophyta; Magnoliopsida; Poales; Poaceae
Description: microRNA MIR1122
Rfam family: MIR1120/MIR1122 microRNA precursor family
Source: RNAcentral